GUGAAUCAUCGAAUCUUUGAACGCACAUUGCGCUUCGUGGUAUUCCGCGGAGCAUGCUCGUUUCAGAAUCAUUAACAACCUCACAACUGGUGGAAGUGUGUUGCUUGCAACCAAUCUGCCGAGUUGUGGAUGUGGGCACUUUGCUAUAGUCAAUUGCCUCAAAGUUAAAGAGUGCGUGCCUUCCUUUUCUCAAUUUGGAACAACCCUAGUGCAACAGCUAAGAUACACUCCGGGCCCACUUUGAGGAAGGUGCCACCUGUCGAGAACACAGAGCCCAACACAGCAGGAAUGCUCGGGCUC
RNAcentral lists this unclassified non-coding RNA (300 nucleotides) under uncultured fungus. RNAcentral's name for it is "sequence contains 5.8S rRNA gene, ITS2". The stretch from base 1 to 71 matches the Rfam family "5.8S ribosomal RNA", at positions 84 to 154 of the family's 154-position model. Lineage: Eukaryota; Fungi. The record is from RNAcentral.